This 245-nucleotide ribosomal RNA is filed under the name uncultured bacterium. RNAcentral's name for it is "partial small subunit ribosomal RNA". It matches the Rfam family "Bacterial small subunit ribosomal RNA", at positions 26 to 285 of the family's 1533-position model. The record is from RNAcentral.
AGAAUCAACGCUGGCGGCGUGCCUAACACAUGCAAGUCGCACGAGAAAGGGGAGCAAUCCCUGAGUAAAGUGGCGCACGGGUGAGUAACACGUGAAUAAUCUACCUCCGAGUGGGGAAUAACUGAGAGAAAUCUUAGCUAAUACCGCAUAACACUUACGAGUCAAAGCAGCAAUGCGCUUGGAGAGGAGUUCGCGGCAGAUUAGUUAGUUGGCGGGGUAAUGGCCCACCAAGACGAUGAUCUGUA